CCACAAACCCAUUCUCCCCAAUUAAGGUGCCACCAACCUCCUGUGCUUGACACGACUAGUAGAAACAUUAAGUGAAGAAGCUAGCUAGCUAUAGAAAUUGCACAGUAGCCAUUUCUAUACAGAAGAAACACAACAUAAACGAAUACAUCCGCCUCUUCAGAAUAAUGAAAUCCGAUUGGACGCUCGUUUCAAUGCUCAAAUGCUAUUAGCUGAAUGCAAUGUCAACAAAACUCAGUUUGGCAUUCUUGGUCCUCUCAUUGGAUCCUCUUCAGCUGGUGCAAUUGUGCUUUGGUCCCGGGAGCAACAGGAAGCAGAGUGGAUUUUCAAUGGAUUUGGACCAAGUCAAGACAUCAAGAUCGGGACUAGAGGUACACAUUUCAAGAUACCAUAAACCUCUGGCCUGUCAAAGAUUAAUUCAGCGUUGAAAAAUGGAAGGACUGCAUGGUGUUGUAGCUACAUCUAAUCUAAUCAAUUUAAGCACACAGGUUUGAAGUGUCUUUUUAUAAAAUAAAUCAUCAUAAUGUACUGUCUGUGGGAUGUCACGUCACUACAUUUCCCCUGAAUACGAAAUGGAAAGGCUUGACAGAAAAUAAGGAGAAACGGGUUUUUGGGUGAUGGAUGCUCCUCAAGGAAAUUCAUUGCAGUUUGCUAAUGGAUAAAAAAGACCUUUAGGGGGUGCAAAUGUUAGUGUAUUUUUUUCUUAAAAACACUUGAUGUAAAAGUCUAAACAGUGAUAGUGUUAAUCAUA
This is a long non-coding RNA of Oncorhynchus tshawytscha (Chinook salmon), 748 nucleotides long. RefSeq lists it as uncharacterized. The transcript has 3 exons. The record is from RefSeq and is a predicted model, not a curated record. Lineage: Eukaryota; Metazoa; Chordata; Actinopteri; Salmoniformes; Salmonidae.